This is an RNA transcript of Macadamia integrifolia, 3791 nucleotides long. RefSeq lists it as uncharacterized. The transcript has 7 exons. The record is from RefSeq and is a predicted model, not a curated record. Lineage: Eukaryota; Viridiplantae; Streptophyta; Magnoliopsida; Proteales; Proteaceae.
CCUUCACUAACGAUGGAAAAUACGGUUACAAACUCUCUUCUUCUUGCCUAUCAGUUUACAAAAAAUUUCCUCUUAACUGUAAUGAUCCCAUUGCUACCAAUUUAGAAAGGAAACAUAAAGUUACAAUUUUUGAAAGUGGAAAAAAAAUAUGUAGCCGCCUAGAAACAAUCCACUGAAAUGAUCACCCUACCCUUUACAAAAUGAAAGAUCCCUGUGAUCAAUGCCAUACAUAUGCUCUCAUUGACUUAAUACAGGGGCCACACGUUUGGGACAACAUUUAUCUUCCUUUUUGGAAAUUACACCAAGUAAACCCUAGAUAUACCAAACAUUGAAGGCUCACAACCCAAGCCACAUAAUACAAGACAUUAAGCCCCAACAUUACCUUGCAUGGAUUAUCCCAUCCUAUGAUGCACACAAAUAGGAGACGUUGGUUGGCAGAAGCUUCAAUAAGUGUAUCAAUCGGUUAGUUUAAACCGGUUUUGAUCAGUCUAAAUUGGUUUUGAUAUGUUACUGGACCAACUUCAAAUCAAUUGGUUGGUUUCAACCGGUUGUGGUCAGGCUGAACUGGUUUUGAUAUGUUACUGGACCAAGUUCAAAACCAAAUGUCACUGAAGUUUUGGUUUCAAUCCGAUUUUUUGUCAGUUUUUUUUUUUUUUUUUUUCAUGUUAUAUUAUCCAGUUCGGUAUGGUUUGGUGUCACUUUUACAUGUAUACAUAAGGAAAUCAAUAGGAAAAGUAUGCGUUUCUUUGUUUUUGUUUUUCAGUUUACUAUUGGUCCGAACUCAAAUUUAAUCAGGUUCAGUUUGUUUUUCUGGUUGAUUUGAAUUCGAUUUCUACUGGUUUCAUAAACCUCAACCAAUAGGGUUUGAUUCAUUUCUAUUCAGCCUAAACCGAUCAAUUUCGAUCAGUCCGAUCGAUUCCGGUUGAACUUUGACAUCCAUAAGCUUGGAGGAAGAAUUUUCUUUUAGACUACAAUACCCUCUUUAGGUUGAUGUAAUCACCAAAGAUACCUUCGCAUUGGCGUGGGUUAGCCCAACCACCAAGCCCCGCACUUGCGUGGACAUCCCAGGGAUUAGGGAUUAGGGAAUGACGAGUUCAUCUUUCGAGUCUCCCUGGACUUCAUCUCCAGCGAUACCUCCGCCGUCUCCGUCGAGAUCUACGUCGUCGGCUGCCUCAAAGAUCCCCUCAUCGGUACCGUCAGGUUCAUGGUUAGGAACUGCCUCUCCGGGUUUGAAAGCGAGAGGUUUCGAUUUUGACCCGAUCAACCGACCCAAAUCCGAGCUUCAUCCUCUCUCUUUACUGCAGUACUGUACACUGUACCCUGCAAGACUGCAUCCCAGAAGUACUUUCUACUGCAUAGUCCAAUGGGAGGAGAGAGGGCCGCUCAAAACCAUAGACCUAGUUUUCCUUUUCAUUUCUACCCUUGCGCCCUUUCUUUUUCUUUUUCUUCUUCUUCUUCUUCCCUGAAACCGUUUAUUUUCUGCCAUUUCUAUUUUCCUUGGGACGAUCUCGGGUUGAAGACAAGAAUCAAGGCAGCAGCUUGGUUUUCUUUUGUAAAACCAUUUACAAAUGGAACCAGAUAUUGAUUCUGUAAUUGCUCAGAUUCAGCUGAAUAUAAAAAAUAAUUAUCAUGAACCAAUCGUACACUCAGUUGCUUGGUCUGAGGAGAUAUAUUCUAGAAAUUUUAGCUACCACAGGCACAACGAAGGUAGUGUUUCAUGGGAGACUUGUAGAACAUAUGCGGACGUUUUGACAUCAACUACAUCUGAUUUUAUAUUGAAACCAUGGACGUGCACUCGAGUUGAUGGACCCGACCUUUUAGUCUUUCAAAAAGUCAAAUCGUUGGAUGAAUACAUGAACGCUUUAACAGAACCUGUCAUUGUAGAUACGCAUUAUGGACCUCUUUAUGCUUCUAAUGAACUACAACAUAUAAUCAGGAUUAUAGUGAAAGGUUUGGAAGAUAUACAGAAUUAUAAUUUGAAGAUUGUAGAUAUUCCGAGUUCAGUUGUCAUAACUGAUUGUAAUAAAGUUAAGUUUAUUCAGCUUAUCAAAGGAGAUGAGGUGGAUAGUUUCAAUGGGUAUCUUCAACUAAUUGAAGUAAUGAGCCUUGAAAUUCCAUAUUUGAGACAGUUGGACAAUUUCAGAUCUCUACUGCGGACGACGUAAGAUUUGAUUGCAAAGAUUCUUAGGAUUCCUAGUGUAAUGCAUUAUGUAAUACUCAUGAACGUUCAAAUUAGGGGGUUUCAGCUAAAAUCAGAUAGUUAAAACAAGAGAUAUUGGUAGUUCCUAGUGACAAAUUGAGUUGAGUUUUUUAGGUUGUUUACUCUCUAUCCGAUUGAAAUUUUACAAUAUUUUAUCCACUGGAUUAAUAUACUUUGGUGUCUAUUCUACUUAUCAAUUAGCUUAUUUAUUUGUAAUGUUUAUUUAUUUAAUUUUUAAUUUAUUACUAUUUAAUCUUACUUGCUAAUUAUUUUGCGGUUCUUUUGAAAGAUUCUAUGGACAUCCAUUUUUUUGGAAGAAGGAUGAUAGAUUUAAAUACAUCCUGACGUUACAUGCGAUACUAAUUGGUGAAGAUUAUAGAUUUGGUCAACAAACGAUUAAUAGGAUUGGUGAUUUAGUACGAGAUGUGGUACUUGAUAUAGAAUAUCAAAGUGGAUUGCAAUGGACGGAUAUGGUUCCAACGUGGCGGCCAUAACGUGAUGUUAUUCUCUGAACACCUUUUCAUGACUGGAAGCUCCCCCCCCCCCCUUCUUUCUAAAUGAAAUCUAUUUUGCUGAUAUUUCUAUGUUAUUAUUUCUUCUGUCUUGGGGUGUCAUGUUUCUUAUAUUACUUGGUUAGUACCAUUAUAUGGGCCUAGAAGUUUGCUUUUAUAUGUGUAUGUGUGCUUCUAUCUUACGUACAUGUUAAGACUGAAAAGUUCUUCAUUUGAAGGUCUCUUAUUUUUUUGCUAUGCUUUUGUUUCUGGCACUUUUUUCCUGUUAAAACUACUUUUUGUUCUGAGGUUUGAAGAUGCUAUACCUGGUAUUUGGGUAGCAUCCCUAUUUAAGAUCAUUUAUUUACUGACUUGUUGCAUUACUAUAGUCUGAAAAAAAUGAUCUAAUGAUCUUUGUAUGGAAGAGAUCUGCAAAAAAGAAAAAUAAGAUGAAAUAAAAUAAAAUCUGAAGCUACCUUUGUUUGUAGUUCUUAAUUUCUGUCUAAACAAGGUUGAAUGUUUGAGGCAAAGAGUUAGAAAGGGGUGGUAAAGCUCUGCUUUUUUUUUUUUUUUUUUUUUCUGGCCAAGAGUAAAGCUUUGUUAUUGUUGUUUAAAGGAGCUUUGGCUGUAUUCGACUUUUCUGUUUUUUUCCCCCUCUGUUUUCAUCUUAAAGAAAGAUUUUGCUGGUGUCAUCCAUCCUUGAAGCUCAUAAUGAUGAAAAUUUUGUUUGUUCUAUGCUUUCUAGGAUUUGCUAAGGUAUUAUUGACUGAUACAUAAACAGCCGAAGGGCAGAAGUAACAGAUGAUAUAUUUUUUUUUAGAUACAUCACUGCUAUAUUUGAUGAGAACCUUACACAUGUUAAUAUGUAUUUUAAUGACAGAUUCAGGACAACCAUUCAAGCUAAUUUCUUACAUCAAAAAUCUAUACGACCAUCAUUGGUGUUGUUACGAUGAAAUAGAUUAUGGGAUCUAUCCAAUAUUUCCAAGCCUUCUUUCCCAAAUAUAUACACGUCUUUGGGGAUUGUUUCCUCUUCCACAACUACAAAUAGAAGGGUUCAUUCCUUGCCCACAAUGAGAAGAAUGAUUUUUGUCUCUAGCUGU